This 224-nucleotide long non-coding RNA is filed under the name Monodelphis domestica (gray short-tailed opossum). RNAcentral's name for it is "lncRNA (ENSMODG00000036823.1)". The record is from RNAcentral. Lineage: Eukaryota; Metazoa; Chordata; Mammalia; Didelphimorphia; Didelphidae.
UCUAUAGCUCCUCCAGGAAGGGUGUAAAAAAAACUAUGGCUGAAUGAAUUCAAUUGCAUUAACAGCAGUUACAGAGCUGAAUCAUUGAAAUUCAGUGGCAGAACAAGAGUGGAGUGGAUGACCCUGGUGUCUUCAAUGUCUGAUCAUUAUCUAAGCUAUACACAGCACAUUCUUCAGCUUCCUGCAUGGACAACUAAUUCAAAGUGAUGUGGAAAAGAACAAUU